CCUACGGGUGGCAGCAGUGAGGAAUAUUGGUCAAUGGCCGGAAGGCUGAACCAGCCAAGCCGCGUGAAGGACGAAGGUGCCAAGCAUUGUAAACUUCUUUUGUCAAGGGACAAAAUCAGGCUCGAGAGCCUGACCGAGGGUACUCGAAGAAAAAGUAACGGCUAACUCCGUGCCAGCAGCCGUGGUUAUACCGAGGAGUCGAGUGUUAUCCGGAUUUAUUGGGUUUAAAGGGUGCGUAGGCGGGCUGUUAAGUCAGCGGUAAAAGGCCGGGGCUCAACCCCGGCGAGCCGUUGAAACUGGGUGUCUUGAGAGGGCGAGAGGUAUGCGGAAUGCGCGGUGUAGCGGUGAAAUGCUUAGAUAUUGCGCAGAACUCCGAUUGCGAAGGCAGCAUACCGGCGGCGAUCUGACGCUGAGGCACGAAAGCGUGGGUAUCGAACAGGAUUAGAUACCCCUGUAGUC
RNAcentral lists this ribosomal RNA (459 nucleotides) under uncultured bacterium. RNAcentral's name for it is "partial 16S ribosomal RNA". It matches the Rfam family "Bacterial small subunit ribosomal RNA", at positions 338 to 795 of the family's 1533-position model. The record is from RNAcentral.